RNAcentral lists this ribosomal RNA (497 nucleotides) under uncultured bacterium. Its description in RNAcentral is "partial 16S ribosomal RNA". It matches the Rfam family "Bacterial small subunit ribosomal RNA", at positions 28 to 507 of the family's 1533-position model. The record is from RNAcentral.
GAUGAACGCUGGCGGCGUGCCUAAUACAUGCAAGUCGAGCGAACGGACGAGAAGCUUGCUUUUCUGAUGUUAGCGGCGGACGGGUGAGUAACACGUGGAUAACCUACCUAUAAGGCUGGGAUAACUUCGGGAAACCGGAGCUAAUACCGGAUAAUAUUUUGAACCGCAUGGUUCAAAAGUGAAAGACGGUCUUGCUGUCACUUAUAGAUGGAUCCGCGCUGCAUUAGCUAGUUGGUAAGGUAACGGCUUACCAAGGCAACGAUGCAUAGCCGACCUGAGAGGGUGAUCGGCCACACUGGAACUGAGACACGGUCCAGGCUCCUACGGGAGGCAGCAGUAGGGAAUCUUCCGCAAUGGGCGAAAGCCUGACGGAGCAACGCCGCGUGAGUGAUGAAGGUCUUCGGAUCGUAAAACUCUGUUAUUAGGGAAGAACAUAUGUGUAAGUAACUGUGCACAUCUUGACGGUACCUAAUCAGAAAGCCACGGCUAACUACGUG